UACAGAGGGUGCGAGCGUUAAUCGGAAUCACUGGGCGUAAAGAGUGUGUAGGCGGAUAUUUAAGUCAGGUGUGAAAAAUCUAAGCUCAACUUAGAUCCUGCGCUUGAAACUAAAUAUAUAGAGGGUAGUUGAGGAUAGCGGAAUUUCCAGUGUAGCAGUGAAAUGCGUAGAUAUUGGAAGGAACACCAGUGGCGAAGGCGGCUAUCUGAGCUAUUACUGACGCUGAGACACGAAAGCAUGGGGAGCAAACAGG
This 253-nucleotide ribosomal RNA is filed under the name uncultured bacterium. Its description in RNAcentral is "partial 16S ribosomal RNA". It matches the Rfam family "Bacterial small subunit ribosomal RNA", at positions 524 to 776 of the family's 1533-position model. The record is from RNAcentral.